CCUACGGGAGGCAGCAGUGAGGAAUAUUGGUCAAUGGGCGCGAGCCUGAACCAGCCAAGUAGCGUGAAGGAUUACUGCCCUCCGGUUUUUAAACUUCUUUUACAAAGGAAUGAAGUGAGGCAUAUGUGCCUUUUUGUAUGUACCUUAUUACUUAGGAUCGGCUACCUCCGUGCCAGCAUCCGCGGUAAUACGGAGGUGCCGAGCGUUUUCCGGAUUUAUUGGUUUUAAAGGGAGUGUAGAUGGGUUGUUAAGUCAGUUGCGAAAGUUUGCGGCUCAACCGUAAAAUUGCAAGUGAUACUGGCAGUCUUGAGUACAGGUGAGGUAGGCGGAAUUCGUGGUGUAGCGGUGAAAUGCUUAGAUAUCACGAAGAACUCCGAUUGCGAAGGCAGCUUACUAGACUGCAACUGACAUUGAUGCUCGAAAGUGUGGGUAUCAAACAGGAUUAGAUACCCUAGUAGUC
This 460-nucleotide ribosomal RNA is filed under the name uncultured bacterium. RNAcentral's name for it is "partial 16S ribosomal RNA". It matches the Rfam family "Bacterial small subunit ribosomal RNA", at positions 338 to 795 of the family's 1533-position model. The record is from RNAcentral.